Molecule: RNA transcript, 1662 nt
Organism: Bombyx mori (domestic silkworm)
Lineage: Eukaryota; Metazoa; Arthropoda; Insecta; Lepidoptera; Bombycidae
Gene: tzn
Gene name: hydroxyacylglutathione hydrolase, mitochondrial
Exons: 5
Source: RefSeq, a predicted model, not a curated record
AUAAAAUCCCUUAAAAAAAUAUGGGUAUUCGUGACUGAUAAGAACAAAAGACUGAUUAUAAUUUGUGUAGAUAAACAACAAAAAAUCUGUGAUUUGAGAUUAAACACCACUAGAUAUUUUGUAAUGACCAACAAAAACAUCAUCAAUAAACUUUAUUCUUUUUAAAAAAACUUAUUCAAUGCUUGCCAGAUUCGUAAAUUCGUUGCCGUCUGGCCUUUCUCAGCGAAUAACUAAACUUUAUUUUCGAGCGUUAAUUCGCAAUCAAAGGGAAGCUCACAGUUCCCAAGAGGACCACCAGUAUAAAAACAUGGAUGUAAAAAUCCUGCCAGCACUCCAGGACAACUACAUGUACUUGAUUGUAGACAAGGCAACAAAGGAAGCUGCUAUUGUUGAUCCUGUGGAACCUAAAACAGUUUUAAAAGCUGUUGAAGAACAGGGUGUAAAUUUGACUACUGUUCUAACUACUCAUCAUCAUUGGGAUCAUGCUGGUGGAAAUGAAGAUCUCAUCAAAGAACGUCCAGGUUUAAUAGUUUAUGGAGGUGACGACAGGAUCGGAGCCCUCACAAAAAAAGUUGAGCACAAUACAAAGUUUAAAAUCGGUAACCUGAAUGUACAGUGUCUUUUUACACCCUGUCAUACAACUGGGCAUAUAUGUUAUUUCGUAACUGCUCCAGAAGAAGGUAACGAUUCAGUUGUCUUCACCGGGGAUACACUCUUCUUAGGCGGAUGUGGCAGGUUCUUUGAAGGCACGGCAGAUCAAAUGUACAAAGCAUUAACAAUUCUGAGCAGCCUGCCUGACCACACUAAAGUGUUUUGUGGCCAUGAGUACACUUUGCAGAAUUUAAAAUUUGCUGCUCACGUAGAACCUACUAAUGAGAAUGUCAAAGCCAAAAUUAGCUGGUCACAAGACAGGCGAAACCAGGGAAAGCCCACAGUAUGAAACACAAUUAUACAUCAUAUAUUAUUUAAAGUAGUCGAAAAUGUUCAUAGGUUGGCCACUAAGUAAGCAGUAGGGCGUGUUUAUAAACCACAUGGGUUGGUGCCACCGCCCUGCCUUUUUCUGCCAUGAAGCAAUAAUGCAUUUUGGUUGAAGGGUGGGGCAGCCAUUGUACUAUAAAACUGAGGCUUAGAACUCGUGCCUCAAGGAGGGUGGCAUUUACGUUUUUGAUGUCUAUGGGCUUAGGUGAUAACACCAGGUAGGCCGCGAGCUCGUCCACCCAUCUGAGCAAUAAAAAAAGAAGCUAAUUCGCCUUGUGUUAGCAUACCUCAGGAACUUACUAAAUUCAAAUCAGAUUAAGAACCAUCAUUAAUACUGACUAGAAUUCAGUUCUUUUUUGUACUUUGGAUUACUUUUUAAAGUUGUUUAUAAUGUACAUUCUAUCCAGUCGCGAGAGACAAAUAAAAAUGAUAUUCUUAAUAUUUCAGGUGCCUUCUACGAUAGGUGAAGAGAAAUUAUACAAUCCAUUCAUGAGGGUCACUGAGUUGGCAGUUCAGAAUCACACUGGAAAAAAUGAUCCGAUUGAUACUAUGAAAGCAAUACGGCUAGAAAAAGAUACAUUUAAGUAAAUCUCUUUUUAUACAAAUAAAAAAAACUGUUGCAUUUCUGGAGCAUAUAUUGGUGUUUAUUUUUGUAUAUUCAAUAAAUUGUUUUCUUUUAUUAAA